RNAcentral lists this ribosomal RNA (1296 nucleotides) under Tortispora starmeri. RNAcentral's name for it is "SSU rRNA". It matches the Rfam family "Eukaryotic small subunit ribosomal RNA", at positions 1 to 1312 of the family's 1831-position model. Lineage: Eukaryota; Fungi; Ascomycota; Trigonopsidomycetes; Trigonopsidales; Trigonopsidaceae. The record is from RNAcentral.
UCUGGUUGAUCCUGCCAGUAGUCAUAUGCUUGUCUCAAAGAUUAAGCCAUGCAUGUCUAAGUAUAAGCAUUAUACUGUGAAACUGCGAAUGGCUCAUUAAAUCAGUUAUCGUUUAUUUGAUCGUUUCUUACUACAUGGAUAACCGUGGUAAUUCUAGAGCUAAUACAUGCAAAAAAUCCCGACUUACGGAGGGAUGUAUUUAUUAGAUUAAAAACCAAUGCCUUCGGGCUGUCUGGUGAUUCAUAAUAACUUGUCGAAUCGCAUGGCCUUGUGCCGGCGAUGGUUCAUUCAAAUUUCUGCCCUAUCAACUUUCGAUGGUAGGAUAGUGGCCUACCAUGGUUUUGACGGGUAACGGGGAAUAAGGGUUCUAUUCCGGAGAGGGAGCCUGAGAAACGGCUACCACAUCCAAGGAAGGCAGCAGGCGCGCAAAUUACCCAAUCCCGACACGGGGAGGUAGUGACAAUAAAUACCAUAUCGGGGCCCUUUGGGUCUCGAAGUGGAAUGAGUACAAUUUAAAUCCCUUAACGAGGAACAAUUGGAGGGCAAGUCUGGUGCCAGCAGCCGCGGUAAUUCCAGCUCCAAUAGCGUAUAUUAAAGUUGUUGCAGUUAAAAAGCUCGUAGUUGAACUUUGGCCCUGAUUGGCCGGUCCACUUAACGGUGCGUACUGACCCGAUCGGGGCUUUCCUUCUGGCUUACUCUGUUCCCUUAACUGGGUGCAGAGGAACCAGGACUUUUACUGUGAAGAAAUUAGAGUGUUCAAAGCAGGCCUACGCUCGAAUAUAUUAGCAUGGAAUAAUGAAAUAGGACGUAUGUUUCUAUUUUGUUGGUUUUCAGAAACAUCGUAAUGAUUAAUAGGGACAGCUCGGGGAUAUCAGUAUUCAGUUGUCAGAGGUGAAAUUCUUGGAUUUACUGAAGACUAACUACUGCGAAAGCAUUUAUCAAGGAUGUUUUCAUUAAUCAAGAACGAAAGUUAGGGGAUCGAAGAUGAUCAGAUACCGUUGUAGUCCUAACCAUAAACUAUGCCGACUAGGGAUCGGGCGUGUCUCCGUUUUUCAGGAACUGCCCGGCACCUUACGAGAAAUCAAAGUUUUCGGGUUCUGGGGGGAGUAUGGUCGCAAGGCUGAAACUUAAAGGAAUUGACGGAAGGGCACCACCAGGAGUGGAGCCUGCGGCUUAAUUUGACUCAACACGGGGAAACUCACCAGGUCCAGACACAAUAAGGAUUGACAGAUUGAGAGCUCUUUCUUGAUUUUGUGGUUGGUGGUGCAUGGCCGUUCUUAGUUGGUGGAGUGAUUU